Delphinapterus leucas (beluga whale) is the source of this 298-nucleotide unclassified non-coding RNA. It matches the Rfam family "Metazoan signal recognition particle RNA". Rfam says of the family: The signal recognition particle (SRP) is a universally conserved ribonucleoprotein. It is involved in the co-translational targeting of proteins to membranes. NCBI's taxonomy places the organism in Eukaryota, Metazoa, Chordata, Mammalia, Artiodactyla, Monodontidae. The record is from Ensembl.
GCCGGGUGCGGCGGCACACGCCGGUGGUCCCAGCUACUCCGGUGGUUGAGGCGGGAGAACCGCUUGAGCCCUGGACUUCCGGGCUGUAGGGCGCUCUGUGAUCGCGUGUCUGCACUAAGUUCAGCUUCAAUCUGGGAACCUCCAGGAAGCGGGGGACCACCAGCUUUCCUAUGGAGGGGUGAACAGGCCCAGGUCUGAAAUGGAGCAGGUCAAAACUGCCCUGCUGAUCAGUAGCCACAUGGCGCCUGUGACUAGCCACUGCCCUUCAGCCUGGGCAACAGAGCAAGACCCCCGCCCU